GAACCAUGAUGGGACACUAGUUAAGUAACUUUUUAAAACGUUCCCAUGCUUGAUACAAAACCUCACUAUCCUUUUGUGUACAAGUUGAAAUUUGCCUUUUUAAAGC
Small nucleolar RNA from Carya illinoinensis, 106 nucleotides. The record is from RefSeq and is a predicted model, not a curated record. NCBI's taxonomy places the organism in Eukaryota, Viridiplantae, Streptophyta, Magnoliopsida, Fagales, Juglandaceae.